AUGAACGCUGGCGGCGUGCCUAAUACAUGCAAGUCGAGCGAACAGACGAGGAUCUUGCUCCUCUGAUGUUAGCGGCGGACGGGUGAGUAACACGUGGAUAACCUACCUAUAAGACUGGGAUAACUUCGGGAAACCGGAGCUAAUACCGGAUAACAUGUUGAACCGCAUGGUUCAACAGUGAAAGACGGUCUUGCUGUCACUUAUAGAUGGAUCCGCGCCGCAUUAGCUAGUUGGUAAGGUAACGGCUUACCAAGGCAACGAUGCGUAGCCGACCUGAGAGGGUGAUCGGCCACACUGGAACUGAGACACGGUCCAGACUCCUACGGGAGGCAGCAGUAGGGAAUCUUCCGCAAAGGGCGAAAGCCUGACGGAGCAACGCCGCGUGAGUGAAGAAGGUCUUCGGAUCGUAAAACUCUGUUAUUAGGGAAGAACAAAUGUGUAAGUAACUAUGCACGUCUUGACGGUACCUAAUCAGAAAGCCACGGCUAACUACGUG
Molecule: ribosomal RNA, 496 nt
Filed under: uncultured bacterium
Lineage: Bacteria
Description: partial 16S ribosomal RNA
Rfam family: Bacterial small subunit ribosomal RNA
Source: RNAcentral